This 524-nucleotide ribosomal RNA is filed under the name unidentified oral bacterium AP60-29. Its description in RNAcentral is "bacterial SSU rRNA". It matches the Rfam family "Bacterial small subunit ribosomal RNA", at positions 8 to 521 of the family's 1533-position model. The record is from RNAcentral.
AGAGUUUGAUCCUGGCUCAGAACGAACGCUGGCGGCGCGUCUUAAGCAUGCAAGUCGAACGGCAAGAUACCUUCGGGUAUCCUAGAGUGGCGGACUGGUGAGUAACGCGUGGAUGACGUACCCUCGUGACGGGGAUAGCCGGUAGAAAUACCUGGUAAUACCGGAUAAGGUCUCACGGAAUAAAGGCGUGAGAGGAAAGCAGCGUAUGCUGUGCAGGAGGAACGGUCUGCGGCCUAUCAGCUGGUUGGCAGGGUAAAGGCCUACCAAGGCGACGACGGGUAUCCGGCCUGAGAGGGUGGACGGACACAUUGGGACUGAGAUACGGCCCAGACUCCUACGGGAGGCAGCAGCUAAGAAUAUUCCGCAAUGGGGGGAACCCUGACGGAGCGACGCCGCGUGGACGAUGAAGGUCGGAAGAUUGUAAAGUCCUUUUAUACAUGAAGAAGAAGUUAUACAGGAAAUGGUAUGAUGGUGACGGUAGUGUAUGAAUAAGCACCGGCUAAUUACGUGCCAGCAGCCGCGGU